GAUGAACGCUGGCGGCGUGCCUAAUACAUGCAAGUCGAGCGAACGGACGAGAAGCUUGCUUCUCUGAUGUUAGCGGCGGACGGGUGAGUAACACGUGGAUAACCUACCUAUAAGACUGGGAUAACUUCGGGAAACCGGAGCUAAUACCGGAUAAUAUUUUGAACCGCAUGGUUCAAAAGUGAAAGACGGUCUUGCUGUCACUUAUAGAUGGAUCCGCGCUGCAUUAGCUAGUUGGUAAGGUAACGGCUUACCAAGGCAACGAUGCAUAGCCGACCUGAGAGGGUGAUCGGCCACACUGGAACUGAGACACGGUCCAGACUCCUACGGGAGGCGGCAGCAGGGAAUCUUCCGCAAUGGGCGAAAGCCUGACGGAGCAACGCCGCGUGAGUGAUGAAGGUCUUCGGAUCGUAAAACUCUGUUAUUAGGGAAGAACAUAUGUGUAAGUAACUGUGCACAUCUUGACGGUACCUAAUCAGAAAGCCACGGCUAACUACGUGCCAGCAGCCGCGGUAAUACGUAGGUGGCAAGCGUUAUCCGGAAUUAUUGGGCGUAAAGCGCGCGUAGGCGGUUUUUUAAGUCUGAUGUGAAAGCCCACGGCUCAACCGUGGAGGGUCAUUGGAAACUGGAAAACUUGAGUGCAGAAGAGGAAAGUGGAAUUCCAUGUGUAGCGGUGAAAUGCGCAGAGAUAUGGAGGAACACCAGUGGCGAAGGCGACUUUCUGGUCUGUAACUGACGCUGAUGUGCGAAAGCGUGGGGAUCAAACAGGAUUAGAUACCCUGGUAGUCCACGCCGUAAACGAUGAGUGCUAAGUGUUAGGGGGUUUCCGCCCCUUAGUGCUGCAGCUAACGCAUUAAGCACUCCGCCUGGGGAGUACGACCGCAAGGUUGAAACUCAAAGGAAUUGACGGGGACCCGCACAAGCGGUGGAGCAUGUGGUUUAAUUCGAAGCAACGCGAAGAACCUUACCAAAUCUUGACAUCCUUUGACAACUCUAGAGAUAGAGCUUUCCCCUUCGGGGGACAAAGUGACAGGUGGUGCAUGGUUGUCGUCAGCUCGUGUCGUGAGAUGUUGGGUUAAGUCCCGCAACGAGCGCAACCCUUAAGCUUAGUUGCCAUCAUUAAGUUGGGCACUCUAAGUUGACUGCCGGUGACAAACCGGAGGAAGGUGGGGAUGACGUCAAAUCAUCAUGCCCCUUAUGAUUUGGGCUACACACGUGCUACAAUGGACAAUACAAAGGGCAGCGAAACCGCGAGGUCAAGCAAAUCCCAUAAAGUUGUUCUCAGUUCGGAUUGUAGUCUGCAACUCGACUACAUGAAGCUGGAAUCGCUAGUAAUCGUAGAUCAGCAUGCUACGGUGAAUACGUUCCCGGGUCU
Molecule: ribosomal RNA, 1372 nt
Filed under: uncultured bacterium
Lineage: Bacteria
Description: bacterial SSU rRNA
Rfam family: Bacterial small subunit ribosomal RNA
Source: RNAcentral